UAAGAAUUUAGGUUCAAGCUUCUAACUUGAAUGAGGGGAGUUUUUCUCCAUUCUUAU
Molecule: transfer RNA, 57 nt
Filed under: Tritonia tetraquetra
Lineage: Eukaryota; Metazoa; Mollusca; Gastropoda; Nudibranchia; Tritoniidae
Description: tRNA-Ser
Source: RNAcentral